RNAcentral lists this ribosomal RNA (856 nucleotides) under uncultured bacterium. Its description in RNAcentral is "bacterial SSU rRNA". It matches the Rfam family "Bacterial small subunit ribosomal RNA", at positions 53 to 916 of the family's 1533-position model. The record is from RNAcentral.
ACAUGCAAGUCGAACGGAAUCCAUGGUGUAGCAAUACACCGGAAGAUUUAGUGGCGAACGGGUGAGGAUCACGUGAGAAACGUGCCCCAGACUCUGGGAUAACAAUUGGAAACGAUUGCUAAUACCGGAUGACGUCGGAGAAUCGCAUGAUUCACUGACGAAAGAUAUUUCGGUUUGGGAGCGUCUCGCGGCCUAUCAGCUUGUUGGUGGGGUAAUGGCCUACCAAGGCAACGACGGGUAGCUGGUCUGAGAGGAUGAUCAGCCACACUGGGACUGAGACACGGCCCAGACUCCUACGGGAGGCAGCAGGGGGGAAUCUUGCGCAAUGGGCGAAAGCCUGACGCAGCAACGCCGCGUGCGGGAUGAAGGCCUUCGGGCUGUAAACCGCUUUCAGCAGGAACGAAAAUGACGGUACCUGCAGAAGAAGGAGCGGCCAACUACGUGCCAGCAGCCGCGGUGACACGUAGGCUCCAAGCGUUGUCCGGAUUUAUUGGGCGUAAAGAGCUCGUAGGCGGUUGAGUAAGUCGGGUGUGAAAACUCUGGGCUUAACCCGGAGACGCCAUCCGAUACUGCUCUGACUAGAGUUCAGGAGGGGAGUGGGGAAUUCCUAGUGUAGCGGUGAAAUGCGCAGAUAUUAGGAGGAACACCGGUGGCGAAGGCGCCACUCUGGACUGAAACUGACGCUGAGGAGCGAAAGCAUGGGUAGCAAACAGGAUUAGAUACCCUGGUAGUCCAUGCCGUAAACGGUGGGCACUAGGUGUGGGUUCCAACUAACGGGAUCCGCGCCGUCGCUAACGCAUUAAGUGCCCCGCCUGGGGAGUACGGUCGCAAGACUAAAACUCAAAGGAAUUGACGG